CAGAGACCAUCUCAAACCUCGGAGACAAAGCUGUCACCCCACCCCAAGACAGUACUGAGCCCUUCAGCAACGGGGUGCUGAAGGAGGAGCUCUCAGACGUGGGGACUGAGGAUGGGUGGACCGUGGAUGCGGAAGCAGAUCGCUCAGGAAGUUCUGACAGGAACAGCAUGGAUUCAGUGGACAGCUGCUGCAGGCUUCCAAAACCUGACAGCCUCCAGAAUGUCCAGUCAAGUUCCAACCCCAAGAAGGUUGACCUCAUUGUCUGGGGGAUAGAGGUGCCAAAGCACUUAGUCGGUCGACUGAUUGGCAAACAGGGCCGGUACGUGAAGUUUUCUGAAGCAGACAUCUGGUGCCAAGAUCUACAUCUCUACCCUACCUUACGCCCAGAACGUCCAGAUCUGCCACACUGCAGGUUCUCAGCACCGUGUAGACAAAGCUCUGAACUUGAUUGGAAAGAAGUUUAAGGAACUGAACCUCACCAAUGUCUAUGCGCCACCACUGCCUUCGGUGGCACUGCCUUCCCUACCAAUGACAUCUUGGCUCAUGCGGCCCGGUGGUAUCACCGUGGAAGUCAUGGUGGCCAACACCCCACCUUCCGUGCUCUGUGUGCAGCUUGGACCAGCAGAUGUACCUCUGUUACUCUCAGCCUGGAAUCCCCACCUUGCCCACCCCGGUGGAAAGUCUGACUUUGUGACCCUGCCAUUCCAAGGAGCGGAAGUCCUUCUGGACAGUGUGGUUCCACUGUCAGAUGACGACCACUUUUCACCUGAGGCAGAUGCAGCCAUGAGUGAGAUGACAGGCAACACAGCACUGCUGGCCCAGGUGACAAGCUACAGUGAGACUGGCCUUCCUCUGAUUCAGCUAUGGAGUGUGGUAGGAGGUGAAGUGGUGUUGAUAAACCGGUCGCUGGUGGAGACAGGCCUUGCACAAUGGGUGGACAGCUGCUAUGCCAACUUUGAUCUCGGGCCCCCUGAGCUACUUCAGUCUUUUUUGCACUGCUGAGAUUGGGCUUGGUACUCAGGACAGAGAUUUAACAUCAGAAUAGCAAGCAUUGUUCUCUCCAGUCUUCUUUCCCUCAUUCUGUAGCCCUUCGGGGGGAAAAC
Molecule: long non-coding RNA, 1103 nt
Filed under: Cricetulus griseus (Chinese hamster)
Lineage: Eukaryota; Metazoa; Chordata; Mammalia; Rodentia; Cricetidae
Description: lncRNA (ENSCGRG00000024850.1)
Source: RNAcentral